GGGCAAAAUUAAGAUUACUAAAAAUUGUUUAGAGAAAUAAUUAGUUAUGAACCUACCCUUAGAUGUAUAUGGGUUGGCCAACCAAAGUUGGACUUGUGUGCAGUCUAAGUGGAUUCUAGUACCCACUAAGAAAUUAGGGUAAUUGCUCGAAUUGGAGGUAGAGGCUACCAAUUCGAAUAAAAUAGUGGGAGAAACCUUUUGAUUAAAGUCCAAAUCUUUAGGUUUAAUGAAUCAAUUAUUAAUUAGGUUAUGGUUUUCCUUUGUGCAUAUAUAGCCACUUCCCUAUCGCUUCGAUCAUUGUUGGACAAUGAU
Molecule: long non-coding RNA, 312 nt
Filed under: Elaeis guineensis (African oil palm)
Lineage: Eukaryota; Viridiplantae; Streptophyta; Magnoliopsida; Arecales; Arecaceae
Description: long non-coding RNA (EGUI_LNC057369)
Source: RNAcentral